UUCCGCUUUACGGCUGCCUCUCCCAGACUUGAGCCCGGGAGCGCCCACCGCCGUCAGCCCUGUCUCUGAGAGUCGGCCCCACGGAGAGUGACAGACCCGGCGCGCUGCUGCCUUCCCCGCCGCGUCCGAGCUGGCCUCCGGCAAUGUGAGCUCGAGGAGACUGCGGUGCCCCCUGGCCCGGGGUUGAGACGGGCGGCAGGUGCCUGUGAGGCGGGCGGGUCCUGGGGGCCUGCAGGAUGGAGGAAAGCAUGGAAGAGGAGGAGGGGGGCAGCUACGAGGCGAUGAUGGACGACCAGAACCACAACAACUGGGAGGCCGCGGUGGACGGCUUCCGGCAGCCCCCGCCACCCCCGCCGCCCCCCUCGUCGAUCCCAGCCCCGGCCCGAGAGCCUCCGGGGGGGCAGCUGCUGGCGGUGCCCGCGGUCUCUGUGGACAGGAAAGGCCCCAAGGAGGGGCUCCCGAUGGGGCCGCCGCCACCGCCCGAGGCCAAUGGGGUGAUCAUGAUGUUGAAGAGCUGCGACGCGGCCGCCGCCGUUGCCAAGGCGGCCCCCGCCCCCACCCCCAGCUCCACCAUCAACAUCAACACUUCCACCUCCAAGUUCUUAAUGAAUGUUAUAACUAUUGAAGAUUAUAAGAGCACAUACUGGCCAAAAUUGGAUGGUGCCAUAGAUCAGCUUUUAACUCAGAGUCCUGGUGACUAUAUCCCCAUAUCCUAUGAACAGAUAUACAGUUGUGUGUAUAAAUGUGUGUGCCAGCAGCACUCGGAACAGAUGUAUAGUGAUCUGAUUAAAAAGAUAACUAAUCACCUAGAGAGAGUCUCAAAGGAGCUGCAGGCCAGCCCUCCAGAUCUCUAUAUUGAAAGGUUUAAUAUAGCUCUUGGACAAUAUAUGGGAGCAUUGCAGAGCAUUGUGCCUCUUUUCAUAUAUAUGAAUAAGUUUUACAUCGAAACCAAGCUUAACAGAGACUUAAAAGAUGACCUUAUAAAGCUGUUUACGGAACAUGUUGCAGAAAAGCACAUUUACAGCCUAAUGCCUUUACUUUUAGAAGCCCAGUCAACACCAUUUCAGGUCACACCUUCAACUAUGGCAAAUAUUGUGAAAGGCCUGUACACUCUCAGACCAGAGUGGGUUCAAAUGGCUCCAACUCUAUUUUCUAAAUUUAUUCCAAACAUUCUCCCUCCGGCGGUAGAAUCUGAACUUUCUGAAUAUGCUGCUCAAGAUCAGAAACUUCAAAGAGAACUUAUACAGAACGGUUUUACCAGGCAAGUUUUUUUUCCUUUUGUGACCAUAUAUGUCCAUUUCCUUGGGCUAGUUGGGCUUGGCGGGGGAGGGAAUCCCAGGGUUCUCAGACCAGGAAAUAACCAGGCCCCAGAAUCAGGGGCCACUGCUGGGAGAGGUAGUUAGGUCGCUGUCUCGGGAAACGUUGAAGCUGGGUUUUGAUUUUAUGGAAGCUGCUCUUCACUAAAUGGACUUGAAGAAGGGACUUUUUUCAGUUGGGUGGGCGGUUAGGCUGGGCAACCUCCAAUAGCUCUUGCAACUUACUAGUUCUGAACAUUUGGAAAAACAAUGUAGAAAUUUUAUGAUUAGUUAUAAUGUACUUUUAUGACUAAACUAGUGAAGAGGCUUUAGAUUCUGUUUUUCAUAAUUUCACUUUUGCCCUAAAUUCUAGUUGUUUCUUCUUAAAAAGUAAGAUUUCUCUUUAUAUGUGUCCAGAAAAUUUGCCUCACUUGACUUCGCUAAUUUUUCUAAAAUUUGCAAUUCAAUAUCAUGGCUGUAUCCUGGAAAAUUUUGUGAAGUGCAUAUUUUCAGCUAAAAUUAUAUAAAAAUUUUGUGAUUCCCUGUGGGAAAACAGCUGUGUCACCAGAUCAUUGAAGGGUACAGUAAUACCUUAUAUUUUCAUGAUCCAUACUCUUUACUUAGCACUUUUACAUAUCUUUUCUUAUUGGAAUCCCUGGCAUUAAAAGAAGACAGACACCUGGCCUCCUCACUUAGGCAUGGUUGUGACCACUGGAGAUGGAUAUUCUCUUUCAUAGGUUCUGAGGCCAAAGUCCCAGAAUAUGAGUCAUAACCAAGAUCACUGUUACUAAGUCUUUAGUUUCAGCACAGGUUAGGAAAGAAAGCAGAUAAUUUCUUCUUUGUUGGCCGAUGGGUUGGCAUUUAUUCCAGUCUUGUCCCUGCGGCGUCUGUUUUCGUGUGCUGGUGGCGGUAGUGAGUAAUCCACUGGUCAUUUGCCCCACUGACUGGCAGCUCGCACUGGAAAGGCUCAGUGAAGCCGUGUAGAUAGGCCUGGUAAACCCGACUUUAUUGUGUCAGGUUAGGGGAAGGAAAGGCCAGUGGGAAACGAUAGAAUGUAAACAGCUGGUUUUUCUCCCUGAUGUCCAGUGGUCAGGUGUUUCCUGACGUUAACUGAAGUAUUUCUAAUAGUGGUAUUAUUUUCAUACAUAGAAUGAGGCCAUUUAAUGCCAUAGUCGUCUUACUUAUUCAUUUUUGAAGAGCUAAUGUAUUUAUAUGGUUCAAAAAUCAAAAUGAUACAAAAAGUAUACAUUGAGAAGUUUUGUUUCCAUCUGUCUCUUCAUCUUACUCCCACCCUAUUAGGUAACCAUUUUUAUUAGUUUCUUAUGAUUCCCUUCACUGCUUUUUUUAUAUACAGAUAAAAGCAAAUACAAUAUAUGUUCUUAUUUUUAAUCCUUUCUUACGCAUUUCAUCGUGUAUAUAUACUACAAGUUACUUUACUAUUCCCCUGUAGAUGGCAACGUGAAUUAUUUCCAUCUUUUGCUAUUACAGAGAGUGCCACAAUGAAUAACCUUGUACAUGUGUAAUUUUGUACCUGUUGCUGGUAUAUCUGGAGAGUAAAUUCCCACAAGUGGGAUUGCUGGGUCAAGAGGAAAUACAGUUAGAAUUUUGAUUAAUAUUGCCAAAUUGCCCUCCACAGGGAUUGUGCCAUUUUGCAUAUCCACCAACAGAGUUUGACAGUGCCUGUUCUUCAUGGCCUUGCCUGUGGGGUGUGGUGCUACCCUUUUGGAUUUUUGCCAAUCUGGCAGGUGAAAAAUAAUUACUCAGAGUUGGUUUAAUUUGCAUUUCUCUUAUUGCGAGUGAGGCUGAGCGUGUUUUCAUGUGUUUACUUUUUCUGUAAAUGGCCUGUUUAUGUCCUUUGUUCACUCUUCUCUUUGAUUGUUGGUCUCUUUCUCUUAGUUUCUAGGAGCUCUUUCUGUAGUGAAGAGAUUGAUUCUUUGCCCAAGAUGAAACAGUUAUUUUUUUGUUUGUCUUUUGACUUUGCUUAUGGUGGUGUGUUUUUAUUUUUAUUUUUUAGUUUAAGUCAUGCAGAAGUUUUUUUAUUUUCGUGUAACUAACUUUAUCAAGUUUUUUCUUUAUGGCUUAUGUAUUUUGAAUUAUAGUUAAAAGUUUUUCCUUAAAUGUUUUUAUUCAUGUUUUAUUUGAAUGUUUGCUUUUAAUUUUAGAGAUGAGCUUAUUGAUGCCUUUAAAAAAUAAAGUCUUCUGAAAACUUUUAUUUCUGUGAAACAGUUUAGGAAGAUAGCUUUUGUGGAUUUUUCUGAAUGCCUUGAAUUCACCUUCCAGAACAGUUUGUGGGACUUUUUAAACACAUCCAGAGACAUUUUCCUGAUGCUAAUUUUGGAACUAGAAUAAGAGAACAGGGUGCAGGAGUGCUUGGUGUGUAGUAGCUGUUAUGUCAGAUUUGCUUGGGAUGAGAUGAGUAACCGACUCCAUAAAUAGCUGCUUGUAACAUUGCCUUUGUACGUGAAGGACUGACAGCCAAGGCCAGGUUGGUCACAUUCAGGGCAGUGCCUUGGAUUUUUGAUGUAAAUUGGAAUUUUUGUUUCUCUUAGUGGAAUUCUUUCAUACAACUUUUGCCUGAAAUUUAAAUGUUAGAAUUCCAAGUGGUGAUAAAAUUAAAAUGUUUUAGUUUAUAAACAUUCAUGAAUUGGGCCAUUUCUAGAAUUAAGUUAACAAUUCAUUAGAUAUUUACUAUGAGGACUAAAGUCUGCCUCAUAAAUUAUCCUGAUGGCGCUUUGCACAAAGUAGGCCCUGCCUAAGCUGACGUUCUCAGACUCACUCUGCCCACUGCCCAGCUGCCCAGACCACUCAGAGAGGGUGUGCACACACCGUCUUCCAGCAGCUGAGAGAAAAUCUGCCUGUAUUUCCAGCUCUUGUGCUUGCAGCUCUUGUUUCACAUUCUGCCCUGCCUGGCUUGAUACCUUCUUUGAUCAUUAUUUGGCUAGGAUUGUUUUGGAAGAAAUGCUGUCCACUGAUGCAAAAAAAUUUGAGAAUAUAGUACAGCUAUCUAAUAAGAAUUCUGUUACUGGCUGUUCUGAUAUGAAGAGUCUUUUUAUGGUUUAUGCCUAACCAACCACGUGAUUCCUGUUUGGCUGUGCAAACUAUUUUUUCAUUUAAGAUUAUGUUCCGCUUAGAUGAUGUGGGGAGUCCUGAAUAGGCAGUACACAGCUUUAAUAUGGAUGGCACAGCGUAAGUCUUUGAAAUGUUUUGAAAUAAUGUGUAAGUGUUGUCAAAUAUAUACUCUUGCAGUUAAUGGACAGAUUCUCAUUUGAGCUGGAGUUUAUGUGAAAGAUUUUUAGGUGCCUGGAAAUAUAGUAUGGAUGUAUUUCAAAGCUAGAAUUAACAUAUAAGCUAAAAGCAACAUUUUCUUUUUAUCUGUUACCUGCAUAAUUGAAUUGAUUAUUGUGGGGUUGAGCAGGUUAGUGUCUGUUGUUGUCAAAGAUUACAUUAUGAAAGAUAAGCUCAUUUGGAAACUUCGAACAUGCACGUCCUCACAUGGAGCAUCCUCAUUCACACCAGCCUGCAGUCCUCCACCAAGCGUCUACCAAACAGCUUUUAAAGGCAAAUAAAAUGUUGUUUCUGAGUAAUUGUUACUUGAAUUUCUGAAACGAAAUAAAACUUUGUAGAAGUAUUGUUGGUCUUCUAGCUGAGAGGGUCACUCUAGAAUUGGGGCUUUUCCAUUUAGUAGCAGGGAUCUUGUUUCGAGGGCAGCUUGUAGCCUUCCGGACGUUGGCAGCCUCUUGCAUACAUCACAUUUACACUCUCUCUUCCCUCCUCCUGUUGUUCUCACAUCUGUAUUUUUCUCCUGUUAUUUUUGCACGUUCAGUUUUUAUUUAAGCUUUGAGGGGUGGGACUGAAGGUUGUCUGUAGAAAUUGAGGUUCCAGAUAUAAGAUCUUGUAUCUUUCUUUUGAUCAGCACUAACUUAAUUAUUUCAGAAUAUUUGAUCAAUGCUACUGUGAUGAUACUAGUGUAAAUAAUAAUGUAAGACACUCAGCUGGCUUUGGGUAGGUGUAGUGUUAACAAUAGAGCUGUUGAGAAGGGACAUUAGAAUGUCUGUCCCGAGCUCUUUAAGCUGCCUGAGGCUGGUUCAUGCUACAUGUUGUGGAUGUUUUUUUCUCUAAAUGCUCAGCCUAGAGGAAAACCCUUCAAAGGCCAUUAAGUUUGUUCUCUUUCUGCCAGUCAUUAAGACUCCUCCCAACCCAAGCAAGAGGUUUCUGUCCCGGUCUUGAUCAUGACCAGAGAAAGAAAGUGGGAAACUUUGGCAAUCUGGAAGAUUAGCAGGAAGUAAUUAUUUGGACUAGCAUUUUAAUAAUCCAUCUAUAGAGCCAUUUAUGAAUUAUUCACUAAUUCGUUAAUUCAGCAAAUGUUUAUUUUUUACAGUGGACACCGUUCUAGGUACUGGGUGAACAAGACAGGCAGCGUUCCUGUUUUUAUGGUGCUUAUGCUCCAAUGUCAGGAGAUAGAUAAUAAACAUGUAAACAAAUUAUUUCAAAUAAUAGUAAGUGCUGUGAAGAAAAUGAAACAGAGUGUGGGAUAGAGAGUGAGUGAGCAGGGUGUGUGUGUGGGGCUUUUCCAUCUCACUUGAUAACGUGAUGCCUUCUGAGGAGGGGACGUUGCAGCUCUGGCGCAGGUGAUGAUAAGGAGAUAGCCAGGUGGCUUACUAGGGGGAAGAGUGUUGUAAGUACAAUAGUGCUGACAUGUCCAAGGGACAGAAGAAGCCAGAGUGGCUGCAUUGUAGUGAACAGAGGUAGAAAAUGAGGGUGGCAAGGUAGGCAGGAGCCAUAUCUCACAGGGCUGGGCAAAUGAAUUUGAAUUGAUUUUUACUCUAAUGGAAAGCCACUGAAGGGCUUUAAUCAGAGGCGUGAAGUAAUCUUCUUUAUGCUUUUACAUGAGAUCACUUUGGCUCUUGUCUGCACUAAUAAUAGGACUCUUGCAGUUGUGUAGGGGAGAGAUGACGGUGUCUUGGGCUGGGAUUGUAGCCCUGGGGUUGAUGAGGAGUGGCUAAUUUUGGAUUAUGUUUUGGGAUAGAAUGCUAUAGAGUGAGGGAAAGAGAGAAAUCAAGAAUGAGCUAGGAUUUUGGCCUGAGGGAUCGGGUGGAGAGUAGUGCAGUUUACUGAGGAAGACUGAGGAAGGAGUGGGUAUGGAGUGGAGUCAGCAGUGCUUUCUGGCCGUGGAAGAUUUGCGAUAUAUAUAAAUCAUCCAGGUGGCGAUGGUGAUGAGGCAGUUGGACCUACCCGGCUGAAGUGUAGGGAAGAAAUCAGAGCUGGAGAUAGAAUAGUCUUUGACCCACUGGCAUGUGGAUAGUAUUUCAAGUCACAGGACUGGUAUGAUCAACAUCCUAGAUGAAGGCGAAUAUACAUGGAGAAGAAAAAGCGGCCAGGACAGUGUUGGGCAGGGCCAAAAGUGUUCCAGGAAGGAGGAGAAAAGCUGUGUAAGUGCUGCUAAAGGACCGAGGAAGAAGAGCUAGUGGACUGGUCGUCAUUACUCAUUACUUGAGCAUUUUAGUCAUUUGUCUGGAUUAUUAUCUGAAAAACUGGAGAGACAAAGAUGGAAUUUACAGGUAGCAUAGGACCUAAUCAGAACCUCUAUUUUCUUCUCUCUAAAGUGGAACUAGCACCUCCGCUGUAGGUGUUUGAGAUGAGCUGGUUACUGUGUGUGAAGGUUCAUGUCCUUCCACCCGCAAGAAGAGUAUUCAGAGGUGACCAGUCCCGGAAGAGAGCUGGGGAUGAGUUGGCUUAUAACAGCUCAUCAGCAUGCGCAAGUUCCAGAGGGUACAGAUAGUGAAUGCAUUGAAUGUACUUUCCUUCCUGAAAAGAGGACACUGGAGCUGCAGAGACUAUUGAGAGCACAGCGGGGGUCCUGCGACACGCAGGAGCUCUGUCACAAAGCCCUUCUUGGAAGAAGAUGUUGGACUUCUUACUUUGGUCUGUAAUUUUAAAAAACAAAAAACUAACAAAAACAAAAAAACAGUCAGUUGCUGCUAGCUUGGGGAUGAUUUUGAAAUGGGACAAUCCUUUAAUGAAUUUAUCUACAGAUUCCGUGAGGAACAAGCGUCUUGAAAAGUGCCCAUUGCUGAGUGAAAUCGGGCAGCCCAAAUCAGCAGCUUCCUCCAAAAAUAUAAGAGCAGAAGAAUCGUUUUUUUUCCUAAAGCACUUGACUCGUUCAUUUGUGGACUUGGCACUUCGGCAUAUUGGUUUUACACAUCAAGAUAUCUUUUGCUUUAAAAUCAAGCGGAUCAUUACAGUAUUUUUCACCCAAAACCAAAACAAGCCCCUUUAAAAGAGUUGGUCUUUAUUUAGCAUUAGAAAGCCUCAUUAAGGGAAAAUGCUAACUCUGCUUUCGCUAUAACUCUCCCCCCAUCAGUUCACAACUUUCUUCUACUCUGUGCCUUGAGCUUUGUGCACUUUGCAACUCUGUGACCAUGUUGUCAGACUCACAAAUGCUUCCUGAAAAAGUUUAUGGUAUUACAGACUAACCCACCAAGAUGUCAGGUGUGACUUGGUAACAGGAUGCGAAGUAAGUGGGAAAAUAGAAACACGUGGGCACAUUGGUCAGAUUUCCCCCUUCUUCACCUUGGCAUCUUCAUGUUAACGUUGGGGACCAACUCUCAUAGAACAUUUCCAUUCCCUCUAUCACUUACCAUGAUUUCACCAGCUGCUGUCAUUGGCAUUAUGCUAGUUUGGGGGAGGCGGGACCUUAGUACUAGAGCUCCCUUUUUAAUAUUGUUGAGAAUUAUCCAACAGUGAGAGCUGGUUCCUGUGACGCUGCAGGAAGCAGGUAUGGUUAUUAGAUCCAAGUAUAAUCAAUGGUGUGGGAUUCCUGAUCCAUUUCAUUUUAAAUGGGUGAAAUAAGUACUUAAAAAAACAGUCUGCAGUCUGCAUCUUUUAAACCUUCUAUUCGAGUAUAAUAGAGAAGCAGCCAUGCUGUUUUAAGGCUCCCUUUCAUCUGUGGCAAAGCUAUAUGUUCUGUUUUUCUAUACCCACAGUGCUAUUUAGUUCCUUAUGAAAGACUCUGAAGCUUAUUCUAGUUGUUUUUGAAAGGCAAAGAAAAAUAGAAAGAUGUGGCAAGGGAAAAAUAUUUUUCUUCUCAAUUUUGCUUGAAUCUAAAUUGAGCAUAUGCUUGACUCUAUUUGGCUAUGUCAGACUAAUAUUUACCUCUUUAGAAAACUUAGGGCAGAAAAAGAAGACGUAUCAGGGAUGCUGUCACACUUGUGGUUUGCAGAUUUUUCAUAGGGUUGCCUCUGCCACUUCAGUUGAUCCUUUUUUUUGGUGAGUGGCAUGGGUGGGAGAGUUAGAAGUGUGAUAUUCAGAGCCAGUAAGUCAUCUAAUAGAAGUCCUCUAUUUGUAAAAUUAUUAUUCAAAGAAGUAGAAGUAAAGGUGGUCAGAUUUAUUUUUUUAAGUACUUAUCAACCAGAGUUGGUGGAUUUUGUGGAGGACUUCGAAUUGGACACAUUUAACUCGGUGAGCAUCUUGGAUUGUAUUGAUAAACACUGAAUUACUGUAAGAAUAUAUACAGGCUCUCGCUAUACCCUGUACAGUUUGAUUUGCUGCACCAGUAACAUUCUAAUAUCAUGGAAGAAUUCCGUUUUAUCACGUAGUGUCCAAAUUUUCCUUUUCUCAGUGGAAUGCUUGCUGCAGGCUUAUAAAGAACACUUGUACCUGGAGGGUCUCCUGAGUGGUUUUAAUAAUAUUUCUGAAAGGAACAAAAUUAGAGUGUUUCUUUAAAUGUGGAUGAAUUCUUCAGUGUCCUAAUAAUAUACCCAAACGCUUUUUAUGGGAAAGAGUGUUCUUCUUUGGCCAACAAUGGAACUUUCCCUAUAAAAGCAUCAUAUUGUGAUAUGAAUUGGCAUUAAAACCUUUGGAUGCUUUUGCAUUAUUAAGUUAAUGGAGAAAUAUUUUAUAUUGUCUUCUUUUUAUUAUUAUGUUUGUGUUAAAAAAAAAGUGGGCAGCAUAAAGUUUGCAAAAUUUAGUUUCUCUGAAUUUUUGCACCGGGACUGUAGUCAGCUGUGGGUCAGGGCUUGGUUACUGCAAAGCCGUGAUUGGAAUGUGCUGUAGAGAGAAUACACGUGUUGUCCCAGUGCAUGUGACCUGGUGGUUACUCUUCUUGGCCCCUUGAGGUACAUUGCAGUAUGAAAAACCUAUUUCUUUAUUUCAAGUCGAAAUUGACCUUGCUUAUUUAAUUGGGGUUCAUAACAAAAUUCUUAGUUUGCAACAUGAGAGGAAAUCAGAUUUGCCCUCCAUUUUGUAUUGACUAAGCACUGUUUGCCAGAAAGUAUUUUCUUCUUGUGUUUACUUGUGUUCUUCUUGCCAGUACAGCAUAUAGUUUUUCCACUCCAGUUAAGUACUGGCUUUUGUGGGGCCUGGAUCAUUGAAGACAGAAGAUGGCACAUGCAGCCUUGGUUGUUUCAUUAGUCAACGCAUGCAGUUGAUGUGGCUAAACUGACUAGCGUGUGUGUGCAGCCUGAAACUAGAGCCUCCAGAAGCAAGCCGGUUCGGUCACCUGGAAAUCAUGACAUGUAAAAGUAAAUAGAUGAUCAUUGUUUUCAGAGAUAGUACUUAUUUUAAAGAUUGGCCUUAAGCUUCAAUGACAGUGUCAUCUCGUGUCCUCUGUUGUCACUGCUGCACCCUCACCUGACAGGAACUACUACUUUGUUUUCUCUGGGUCAGAAAGCAAAACCUGGUCUAGUGACUCUUAACCUAGUAGUUCUUAGGUGGAGGUAGUGAGAAGAGACACAAACCUGGGUGCAUGAGUUGUGCAUUAUUAAAUUUUGCAGAAAAGUUACUUGUUUUUCCUGUCCCUUGUACAAGUUUGAGGCAGUUCCUCUCCCUUUCUUUGAGAUACAGGAUGAAAACUGAUUUUUGAGUAAGCGAAACUGCAGAAGAAUGGAUGCCCGCGGCCAUUAACGCCGCACAUGCAUCUGCAGCGCUGCAGCCCCGUGAAGCCGCCACUCCCCUUGAUAUAUGCCAUGCUUUCUGUUGGGUUGCAAAUUUGCACACGUAAAGAAUUCCUCAGGAAGAGUUUGCACAUGCAUCACCUCACAAUAUUCUGUACUGACCGAACAAGGGAUUUGAAAGUUUCUCAGCACAAAAGGAGAACUUCAGAGUGGUGAUCUGUGCAAAUGUACUAGCAAAGGUAAUGGUAAUCCAGCAAACACGGUUGGUUUCUGCAGUUACAAAGUGAGCAGGAGCACUUGUAUCAUAGUAUUUAAAUAAGCCUGUUUAAUCUCCCAGAGUAACCCUUCCAGACUUUGUCUUCUUACUGAGGCUGGCUGUAUUUUCUUCUGUUUUUUGUGUUUUGUUGAAGUUAAUUAUUUCCAUGAUUAUUAUGCAAGAGGCGUUGCCCUUGAGCUAAAAUUCAGUUGUUUAAUAAGCACCUAUUAUUAAAAAAACUGAAUAUUUUAUGAAUAUACACUAAUCUGAGAUAUUAAAAAACUUUACAACUAAAAAGCAAAACAAAAAACCUACAUUAGCUAUCCAGUCAUUUGGAUGUUUUGAGUUGAUUUUUGUAUGGUGUCUCAUUGAGCUUCUUAGCUCAGAGUAUUAUGUUUACUUUAGUCCAGGUCUAGGCCUCUCAAGGGGACUUUAAAUUUUAAAAUCAGGUUGUGAAUCCCUUGACUGACACCUAUAAGAGGUUUAUAAGACCUUUUUGGUUGUGAUUACUAUUUUCAAUAAGAUUACAUGAGAUGAAGUUCAUGUUUAUCAGAAGUUAAAAUACAGGUCGUAGGAGUUCACGGAGAAAUGACUCUCCUGUUACUUUUAUUACCUUGUUGAAAUUUGCCCCCGUUUCUGGCCACCAGAAUAUGUGAAAGGACCCCUUUUCUUUUCCAAGGGAAAUGAUUCCUCUUCUGUCCCCACUGUUUAUUAACUAAGUCAUUGACACUUUCCCUCCUCUACUGGCCAAGACCUAUUUUGAACCUCUUUUCAGAGCUGAGUGGCACAAGUACAUACACUAUUUCUGCUUAUGUUGAUGGAGUGCUAUGGGAAAAUGCUAAUCAGAGGUACAUUCUUAUAGGACCCUAGCAUAUAUUACACCCCUGCUGAUUGGAAAUUAUCUUCAUUUCUGGUUGGACUGCAUUGUUUAGAAGAAUGUUAAUGGCUUACAAUUUUGGGAAUUUAUAGUGUGGCUCUGGGGUGAAUUCUGUGGUUUGAAAAGAAUAAAUAUUUUGUAUUGAUUCUCACAUGUCAUUUCAAUGUUGUGACUAUGUACUAAAUGCAAUAAGACUGUGGAUAUUCUUUUAGAAGGGUGUGUUUUGUUAAACAGAUGGCAAUUUAAUUGCUGUCAUUAGUCCUGUUUGUCAAUAUUACAGCCAUGCUGUUCAGGAGAAAUUAUUCAAAUGUGAAGUUGUGGGAAGCUAUGGCUGGAAACAGAAAUGCUUAUGAGUAAAUGGGAGGUCAAAUGCAGACAAGAGGCUUUUGCCACCCACCAGCACAGCCAGAGCAAGGAUGAAGCAGUGAAGUCUAGUCUGUUGGUGCUUGUUUGUUGGAAAGCGUGGUGGAGCUUAGAAGGGUGUUCUGUACAUCAACUCUUUUAUUAAUCCAAGAAAAACAAAAUGGUGGGUGAAACUCUUAUUGACCGGGGAUUCAAAGCCGACUUUGGCUGAGACCUUUAACUUUUGGUGGAUUUUGAAUCGCUCUUUCUGUAUUAGGGAGUAUACCGUCACUCUCAAACACUGUGGUUAAUGAAAUAAAUCUUGUACAGAUGUC
Diceros bicornis minor is the source of this 11996-nucleotide RNA transcript. It is a transcript of the gene named CDK2 associated cullin domain 1, with no coding region annotated. The transcript has 9 exons. The record is from RefSeq and is a predicted model, not a curated record. Lineage: Eukaryota; Metazoa; Chordata; Mammalia; Perissodactyla; Rhinocerotidae.